AGUGAACGCUGGCGGUAGGCCUAACACAUGCAAGUCGAACGGCAGCACAGUAAGAGCUUGCUCUUACGGGUGGCGAGUGGCGGACGGGUGAGGAAUACAUCGGAAUCUACUUUUUCGUGGGGGAUAACGUAGGGAAACUUACGCUAAUACCGCAUACGACCUACGGGUGAAAGCAGGGGAUCUUCGGACCUUGCGCGAUUGAAUGAGCCGAUGUCGGAUUAGCUAGUUGGCGGGGUAAAGGCCCACCAAGGCGACGAUCCGUAGCUGGUCUGAGAGGAUGAUGAGCCACACCGGAACUAGGACACGGUCCAGACUCCUACGGGAGGCAGCAGUGGGGAAUAUUGGACAAUGGGCGCAAGCCUGAUCCAGCCAUACCGCGUGGGUGAAGAAGGCCUUCGGGUUGUAAAGCCCUUUUGUUGGGAAAGAAAAGCAGCAGGUUAAUACCCCGCUGUUCUGACGGUACCCAAAGAAUAAGCACCGGCUAACUUCGUG
RNAcentral lists this ribosomal RNA (492 nucleotides) under uncultured bacterium. Its description in RNAcentral is "partial 16S ribosomal RNA". It matches the Rfam family "Bacterial small subunit ribosomal RNA", at positions 29 to 507 of the family's 1533-position model. The record is from RNAcentral.